GACGAACGCUGGCGGCGUGCUUAGCACAUGCAAGUCGAACGGAAAGGCCCUGCUUUUGUGGGGUGCUCGAGUGGCGAACGGGUGAGUAACACGUGAGUAACCUGCCCUUGACUUUGGGAUAACUUCAGGAAACUGGGGCUAAUACCGGAUAGGAGCUCCUGCUGCAUGGUGGGGGUUGGAAAGUUUCGGCGGUUGGGGAUGGACUCGCGGCUUAUCAGCUUGUUGGUGGGGUAGUGGCUUACCAAGGCUUUGACGGGUAGCCGGCCUGAGAGGGUGACCGGCCACAUUGGGACUGAGAUACGGCCCAGACUCCUACGGGAGGCAGCAGUGGGGAAUAUUGCACAAUGGGCGGAAGCCUGAUGCAGCGACGCCGCGUGCGUGAUGACGGCCUUCGGGUUGUAAACCGCUUUCGCCUGUGACGAAGCGUGAGUGACGGUAAUGGGUAAAGAAGCACCGGCUAACUACGUG
RNAcentral lists this ribosomal RNA (468 nucleotides) under uncultured bacterium. RNAcentral's name for it is "partial 16S ribosomal RNA". It matches the Rfam family "Bacterial small subunit ribosomal RNA", at positions 28 to 507 of the family's 1533-position model. The record is from RNAcentral.